GUUGGGUGUGGUGGCAUAUGUCUGUAAUCUUUGCACCUGGGAGACUGAGGCUGCUGGACUACUUGAGUCGGGGUUUCCAGUGCCAUAGCAAACGGGAGCCCUGGUGACGGUCAGCAUCGACAUGGUGCUUCUUGGAGAGCCUUGGUGCCCCAGGUAAUCUAGGGAGGGGUUAACCAACCCAGGCUGGUGACAGAGCAGGUGAAAGCCCCCGUGCUGAACGGUCUGUGGGUUGCCCCUGUGAGUAGCGGCUGCGGUGCUGCCAAGGUGAAAGGUGGCUUAAC
Unclassified non-coding RNA from Scleropages formosus (Asian bonytongue), 281 nucleotides. It matches the Rfam family "Metazoan signal recognition particle RNA". Rfam says of the family: The signal recognition particle (SRP) is a universally conserved ribonucleoprotein. It is involved in the co-translational targeting of proteins to membranes. NCBI's taxonomy places the organism in Eukaryota, Metazoa, Chordata, Actinopteri, Osteoglossiformes, Osteoglossidae. The record is from Ensembl.